Molecule: ribosomal RNA, 368 nt
Filed under: uncultured organism
Description: bacterial SSU rRNA
Rfam family: Bacterial small subunit ribosomal RNA
Source: RNAcentral
CGUAGGGUGCGAGCGUUAAUCGGAAUUACUGGGCGUAAAGCGUGCGCAGGCGGUUUUGUAAGACAGAUGUGAAAUCCCCGGGCUCAACCUGGGACCUGCAUUUGUGACUGCAAGGCUAGAGUACGGUAGAGGGGGUGGAAUUCCGCGUGUAGCAGUGAAAUGCGUAGAUAUGCGGAGGAACACCGAUGGCGAAGGCAAUCCCCUGGACCUGUACUGACGCUCAUGCACGAAAGCGUGGGAGCAAACAGGAUUAGAUACCCUGGUAGUCCACGCCCUAAACGAUGUCAACUGGUUGUUGGGUCUUUACUGACUCAGUAACGAAGCUAACGCGUGAAGUUGACCGCCUGGGGAGUACGGCCGCAAGGUUG